CAACAGAGAGAAGCAAAACCGCGAGGUGGAGCAAAACUUCAAAAAUGGUCUCAGUUCGGACUGUAGGCUGCAACUCGCCUACACGAAGUUGGAAUUGCUAGUAAUCGUGGAUCAGCAUGCCACGGUGAAUACGUUCCCGGGUCUUGUACACACCGCCCGUCACACCAUGGGAGUCGGUAACACCCGAAGCCAGUAGUCUAACCGCAAGGAGGACGCUGCCGAAGGUGGGAUUGACGACUGGGGUGAAGUCGUAACAAGGUACC
RNAcentral lists this ribosomal RNA (263 nucleotides) under uncultured bacterium. Its description in RNAcentral is "partial 16S ribosomal RNA". It matches the Rfam family "Bacterial small subunit ribosomal RNA", at positions 1237 to 1500 of the family's 1533-position model. The record is from RNAcentral.